RNAcentral lists this ribosomal RNA (162 nucleotides) under Amaropostia stiptica. Its description in RNAcentral is "5.8S ribosomal RNA". It matches the Rfam family "5.8S ribosomal RNA". Rfam says of the family: 5.8S ribosomal RNA (5.8S rRNA) is a component of the large subunit of the eukaryotic ribosome. It is transcribed by RNA polymerase I as part of the 45S precursor that also contains 18S and 28S rRNA. The record is from RNAcentral. Lineage: Eukaryota; Fungi; Basidiomycota; Agaricomycetes; Polyporales; Postiaceae.
ACAACUUUCAGCAACGGAUCUCUUGGCUCUCGCAUCGAUGAAGAACGCAGCGAAAUGCGAUAAGUAAUGUGAAUUGCAGAAUUCAGUGAAUCAUCGAAUCUUUGAACGCACCUUGCGCUCCUUGGUAUUCUGAGGAGCAUGCCUGUUUGAGUGUCAUGGAAU